Non-coding RNA from Hordeum vulgare subsp. vulgare (domesticated barley), 136 nucleotides. NCBI's taxonomy places the organism in Eukaryota, Viridiplantae, Streptophyta, Magnoliopsida, Poales, Poaceae. The record is from Rfam.
AUGAUACGCACUCCAUCCCAAAAUUCUUGUCUUGGAUUUAUGUAGAUAUGAAUGUAUCUAGUCAUGUUUUAGUAUUUAGAUACAUUCAUUUCUAUACAAACCUAAGACAAGAAUUUUGGGACGGAGGGAGUAUAUA